GGCGGGGAGCACAGCAGGUGAGCAGCGCGCCGGACAAGGUCGGGGUCCCGGCACAGAAAAGGAAAUGGGGUUGACCCGGGUCCGCCCCGCGGUGCCGGGGCUGGGAGUCUAAGGUACAGGUCACCUGGAGGAAGCCACAUACUGACCUCCUCAUGCUGCUGACACAGGCAGGAUGGCAUUGAACUCAGGGUCACCUCCAGGAAUUGGACCUUACUAUGAGAACCACGGGUAUCAGUCUGAGCACGUCUAUUCCCCGAGGCCACCUGUGUCUCCCAGUGGCUACAACUUGUAUCCAGCCCAGAGCUGCCCAUCUCCAGUGCCCCAGUAUGCUCCGAGAGUCACAACUCAAGCCUCAACACCUGCCAUCCACAUACAGCCCCGAUCCUCAGGAACACUGUGCACCUCAAAAUCUAAGAAAUCCAUGCUUGUCGCCCUGGCCCUGGGCACUGUCCUCGCCGGUGCUGCUGUGGCUGCUGGCUUGCUUUGGAAGUUCUGGGACAGCAAGUGCUCUUCAUCAGAGAUGGAGUGUGGGUCUUCAGGGACAUGUAUCAGCUCCUCCCUCUGGUGUGACGGAGUGUCACAGUGUCCCAACGGGGAAGACGAGAACCGGUGUGUUCGCCUCUAUGGAACAAGCUUCACCCUCCAGGUUUACUCAUCUCAGAGGAAAGCCUGGUAUCCCGUCUGCCAGGAUGAUUGGAAUGAGAGCUACGGGAGAGCAGCAUGUAAAGACAUGGGAUACAAGAACAGCUUUUAUUCUAGCCAAGGGAUACCAGACCAGAGCGGGGCAACGAGCUUUAUGAAGCUGAAUGUGAGCGCAG
RNAcentral lists this long non-coding RNA (818 nucleotides) under Rattus norvegicus (Norway rat). RNAcentral's name for it is "long non-coding RNA NONRATT006922". Lineage: Eukaryota; Metazoa; Chordata; Mammalia; Rodentia; Muridae. The record is from RNAcentral.